Panicum virgatum (switchgrass) is the source of this 3530-nucleotide long non-coding RNA. RefSeq lists it as uncharacterized. Lineage: Eukaryota; Viridiplantae; Streptophyta; Magnoliopsida; Poales; Poaceae. The record is from RefSeq and is a predicted model, not a curated record. The transcript has 2 exons.
GUUUGUAUUGUCCGACGGGGCAAAUACGGGCCGUGUUGGUUAGGUCCACCUUGCAAGGUUAAAUCGGAUCGAUUCGCCGUGUCUCGCGGUUAUGAGGGCCUUGGUCUCUUUGUCACACCGUAGCAAAUGAGAUAGGAUAUUAGAAACAUUAAAUGGAUACUAUUCUGAAUCUUAAUUUGUAUGUCCCAACUUGAGUGUUUAGACAGGCAAACAUUAGUAAGAGUUUAUCUAUUUAAAAUAUGCGGCUAAAACAUGGAAAGUAAGGAUACACCUCUAGUUGCUGUUCUGCAAAACAAACCACUGACCAAAGGCCGUGCAUGUCUAGAUAUGUGGGCUAAGUUAUACCCACUGGUCGGGUAAGUCUUGCUGAGUAUUAGUAUACUCAGGGUUUGUUGUUUACCCUAUUUCAGGUAUAGAAGCUAACCAGGAUUCGCAUCAGUGGGCUCGAUGUGACGUCCUCGCGUGUUCAUAAUUAUCGUAUUGUUUUAUUGGUUCUCAAUCAAAUUUCUUCCUCUCAGGUCAUAUUCUCUUCUGCUGCUGUCAUUUAUUUUAUAUAAAUUCUAAAUUUAAAGCUAUUUUGUAAAUAUUUAUGUUAUUAUCUAUUGUUGUGAAAUUAUAUUAUGCUGGUACCGUCUGUGCUUGCCGUCGCGCGAGACUUCUGGUGUGUUUCGAUCGGCCUGUGGGUUGGAAACAGGCUGUCAGGUUACACUUAAUUAAGCUAAUGCGCCUGAUGCGUUCAAAUGAUGGCCAUUACGCUUAAUUAAGCCGUUUAACUUGGCGGUUCUGUCACAGGCUCCCCUUGUCUGCGUGGGGGUAGGGGGGCUCGAGCUCCCCCCCCCCCCCCCCCAGCCCCCACGGUGCAUCAUCCCAUGAACUCUUACCCAAACUAGGAUGCUUAGGAAAAACACUUUUCAUCUUGGACUUGAUAGAAUCCAAUGUCUGGAGAGCUUGAUGUGCAUCACCUGACAGCUGUAGUAUCUCUGAUUCUGCUCGGAUCAGAAGCAGCUUCAUAAAAUUGAAAUUGCGUCAGUAUUCAGCUCCACAAAAAUGUAAAAUAAAUAAUUUUUUUUAGGGUAAUGUAAAAUAAAUACAUGUACAUUACGUAUAUAAGAUUAUGUAUUCACACAAGCAAGCAAAAUUAAGGCUAACGUUUGGAGUUUUUAUUGGCCCAAAUGGAUCUGAUUUCAUUCACCAAGGCCCAAAGGGCAGUCUUACAUAUAUAUAGAGACCAAGACACCUCUUUAACCCAGACCUACCUACAUGGACACAGGAGUCCAGAAAAUCCUCCAUGUGAUCCCAGCGAAGAAAAUGCGUUGCAUAUGAAUGAAGCUUUCGUCCUCUCGAGAGAGCUUCUUAGGCUUAUAGGCUCCUACCACUAGCCCUGUUUGGCUUAGAUCUUGUUUAGAUGCAAAAUUCAAAAUUCCAAAACUAUCUUGCGGCACAUGCAUGGAAUAUUAAAUCUAGAUAAAAUAAAAAAUUAAUUACAUAGUUUGCUUGUAAAUUAUGAGACGAAAGCCUAAUUGGACCAUGAUUAGACAAUAAAUUGCAACAGUAAACAUGUGCUAAUGACGAAUUAAUUAUUUUUAAUAAAUUUGUCUCGUAGUUUAUAGAUGAGUUAUGUAAUUAGUUUUGUGAUUAAUCUAUGUUUAGUACUUUAAAUGUGCUAAAAUUCUAUUUCAAAAACUUUACACAUGGCAUCUAAACAAGACCUUAGAGCUUUUGUUGUUCUUCUACAACUCCCCAUUUUAUAUCCUCCUAUUCCUUUGUCACUUCUUUGCUGCAAAAAGAAAAAAAAUCAACCAGCACUGUUACAUAGAUGAAGACCAAAGGAAUGCACAAGAAACUUGUUCAUGUGAUUUAGGCAAAGUGCAGAAAGGCUUGAACCAUUUACUUGCCCUGUAUAAGAUGAGCAAGUCCGAACUCUGUAAACGUGCAGUCCCUUGCCCCGAGUAAUUACAACCUUUACUUCACAUAAACGUUUGAGUUUUGACCAACAGUUAUAUUUAUGAUCAGGCAAACUUAGUUCCUUCCUUCUUUAGAUAUACAAUUACAAUUAUACCAUUUCAUUUGACGAGUAGAGAUAUGCCUAAUACAUAUUGAUGGCAUAUGUUCAAAGUUGAUCAAUGUAUCACAAUAAGUGCAAUUAACUCCAGUUCUGUAUGAAUAAUCGACCUCCUAUAGGCUUCCUAUUGUUAGAAUUUUGGGCUAGGUCCAUUGACAAAUUCAGAAAUUUCUAAUAAAUCUCAAAGGCCCAUAUAUGUGCACGAGGGAGGUUGUGGUGCAACCUAUAGUUCCACCUUGCUUGUGAAAGGUGAGAAUAGCUAACUUAAAUAGCGAGACUAUACUCACAUCUCCAAGCUAUGUGUGUUGGAGAGAAAGGGAGCUCCACUUGCGCGCUAGCCCCGCUCGGCGGUGCGGGGCGUGGCGAAAUACGCAGGCGUUUGCCGAAAUCCGGGCUCCUCGCCUUGCGGGGGCGCGACUUCCUUUUGCUGUAUUUUUUGGUGACUUGUGCUCUAAGUCUGUGAGAUAUAGAAACCUAAACCGACUUGGAUUCCAAGUCUGCGAGAUUUGGAAAUGCUAAUCAAAGGUUGGUUUGGCUUCCCUAUAUAAAUGACCCAUCGCCCUUCACCAGAAAUAGAUCAACUCGAGUUAGGGUUUUGCCUCCUUCUUGCUGGCGCGACUUCCUUUUGCUGUUUAUUUUUUGGUGACUUGUGCUCUAAGUCUGCGAGAUAUAGAAACCUAAACCGACUUGGACUCCAAGUCUGCGAGAUUUGGAAAUCCUAAUCAAAGGUCGGUUUAUCUUCCCUAUAUAAAUGACCCAUCGCCCUUCACUAGAAAUAGAUCAACUCGAGUUAGGGUUUUGCCUCCUUCUUGCUGGCGCGACUUCCUUUUGUUGUUUAUUUUUUGGUGACUUGUGCUCUAAGUCUGCGAGAUAUAGAAACCUAAACCGACUUGGACUCCAAGUCUGCGAGAUUUGGAAAUCCUAAUCAAAGGUCGGUUUGGCUUCCCUAUAUAAAUGACCCAUCGCCCUUCACCAUAAAUAGAUCAACUCGAGUUAGGGUUUUGCCUCCUUCUUGCUGCUGCACCGCCUUCGUAGUCUGCACCAUCCCGAGCGCCGACGUGCACCGACGAUCGGGAGAGCAGGUCUCUGGAACCUCCGUCCUCGAGAUACUGCACCGGCAGAGGGCGAAUAAGGUUUUUGGAAAGUGCCCGACGUGACUGCUCAAAGAUCUUCAUCACAGCUCGUCCUUCAUCCAAGCUAGGCGCCGCGGCGAACCGUCGUCUGCGACACUGGCUGCUGCACUCCGUCAACAACACCAUCUUCGUCCGGUCAAUUCCAUUCGUCUUCCCAAAAGCCAAGGCUUAGUACGUAAACUAUUUUUUCCAUUCAAUUCUUAAUCAUGUUCUCGAAGUUAAUGAUCCUGUUAUGCAUUGCCACUAGUAUGAUAGAGUUGUUCAUGCUAGAUCUAGUUAUGUUCAUGAUUUAUUUAUUUCAAAAUUUAAUCAUGCAAUUGCCUAAUAUUUCAACA